RNAcentral lists this long non-coding RNA (2911 nucleotides) under Marmota monax (woodchuck). The record is from RNAcentral. Lineage: Eukaryota; Metazoa; Chordata; Mammalia; Rodentia; Sciuridae.
CGCUCAUUGUCCACACUCUCAAGCAGACUCCUUGGUGCCCUACCUGGGGGAAGGCAUGAAUCAUGGGCAACCUCGGGCGGCAGCGGUGGCCCCCAAGGGCUUCCCAAGAGGCAUCUGAAGGAGAACUUGCCCUUGAGAAGACGCAAACUCAGAUGUGUGUGCAGAAAACACACCAAGAGCAUCUCCACACGCUGGAUGUCCCCGGGCGCUGGACGUCCCCACACGCUGGACGUCCCCACACAUGCUGGCUCCCUUCAUUCCCGGCAGCUCUAUGGAAUAGGUACUUUCUCCCCUCCACAGGGAUCCUGAGAGUGAAAUGAUUCCUAAAGGCACCCCCACCUCCUGACCCAGAGCUGUGGUUUCCAUCUGCUCCAACACAGCCACAGACAGGUCACCUCGUCGCAAGUGAACCUUAUAGAUCAUUUAAAGGCAAGAUGACUUGCUCAUAGGACAUGGCCUAGGGACCUUGCUCCCAAGAGAGGUCUGUGGACCCUCCGUGUGUCCUGGGAACUAGUGAGAAAGGCAGAAGCAAGCCCCUGUCAGCCCAGCUGAUGGGAACGCCUUUGAAGGACCCUUGGCCAUCCCAAUGCACCCGGCAGUUUGGGAAACAUGUAUCCACGGGUGUGGUGUUAGAUUUUGAGAGGACCUUUUACCACUUUUUAAAAAAGACGAUUAUAACAGGGAUCAUCUUAAUUGGGCCUAGGAUACAGAUCCAACCCACAGACUGGUCCAAAGUUCAAAUUACCACCUAAAGGGAAAAAACCCAAUAGAUACUGACUGAUAAGCCAAAGACCUUCAGACCUUUGGCAAAACAUGUGUUCCAUUGGCAUGAUGAGGCGCUACGGCUCGGUGGCAUGUUUAUAGAGUUAUCAGUCCAGAUACAGAUCAGGUAAAUCAUUCUAUUCUUUCGGAUACACUGAUUUACCUGUGUUCCUGACACGCCUUGACCCUAGAUAAUGUGAAAGCUUACAGAAAGCCCCAAAGGCUGCUCCUCCAGUCCAGUGUGUCCUGGUCCCUCCUCACAGAGGAGACCGCCUGUGGGGCCUCUGGCUCCCACGCAGCCUUGGGAGGCUCAGACCUCACUGCCUUCCAUUCUCUGAGGUAUUUUUGGAUUUGAUUAAAUUCUUUUUAUGACUCCCAACUCUGUGGUGUGCAAGGCUCACAGGUAACACUGAGCAGAGUCCCCCUGUCCCCAUGAUGGGGGAUACAGUGGGUCACGGGUGGAUCAGGCCAAGGACUAGACCAAGCAGCCAGUGAGGGGAGGCAGAGGUCGGGGAAAGAAUAGCCCUAAAAUGCUUCCCAGAAGGCUGGAAAGCUGUCCAGGCCCUGGAGUGGGCCAAAACCAGAAGUGGCUGUGCCCUGUAUCAGCUGCGUCCAUGAUGAGCAAGCUGCGCCUGCCCCAGGUGACUUCGUGUUGGGUGGAACAACAGCUUUCAGGCCAUGAUCUGCCCUGAGUUCCUCCAUUGAAAGUGCCGAAGUUCUCCAAGAGUUGCUUCACUUUGAACAAAAGUGCUAAGGAAGAAUGACUCUAUAUCAUGUUUGUACAAGAAAAACAGCCAUCGGUUCCCAAUACAAACAUAAGGCACAAACUGAUAAAUGACUUAUUAAUAUUGAUUUUUAAAACCACCCGUUAACUUAUCAAAUUACGUCAGGAGCACAGAGACACGUGGACCUAUGGCAUCACCUUAGAAAUGCCAGAUGCAGGAGCUUAUCAAUCACACCAGAUGUGACCCCUUACCUAAGACCCAUAAGAGAAGGAGCACCCUAAGACCGGCACGGCUUGCUGACCACUCCCUGGCUACUAUCAGAAGUCUUGCCCUGGAAGAUCGCCUGAGCAAGGCACCGCCUGUCCCCAGGCUUCAGCUCAAGGUGGUGUCUCCUGCCCUUGGGGAAAGGUCCAUUUCAAGUGGACACUUCAGCCUACAUGCCAAAUCCUGCCCCCAGGCCCUUAGCCCUGAAGCUGGGGACCUAAACCCCAUCUAACCACCUCGACUCUGCAGUUUUAUCAGCCCUGGGCUUUGGCUCUUAGCUCUGUCUCUUGAACGUUUUCUGAGCCUUUCCACAACUUAUCUAUCAUCGUGGGCAGCGUGAUUGGAGUGUUAGGGACAUUAGCAGUUAAGGUGCCUCGGCCAUGCACCAGGUGAAAACAGAGUAUUAGGGGAACUAAAGCCCGCGAGCUGAUGGAGCUGGUGAAAUUAUUAAUAUUCAAAACUGACACCGUGGAAAGACAGGAGCAUGUGGGUCUGUGUCAAUGGCUCUGGUGACAGAGACACUGGCACAUUCCUCACCCACUCAGCCUCCUGGCCUCAUCUGUGACAUGAGACACUGAUGCUGAGGUCUGGGUCCUCAUUUAGACAUGGAAGCAAAGGACUGCGCCCUCGGUAGCCCCACCCCAAGGUGAUGGUGUCAGGCGGCGCACCUUGGCGAAGUGACUGGGCCACAAGUCCCAGAUGGGAUUAGUGCGCUAAUUAAAGGGACCCAGUGAGCUGUCCCUGCCCUUCUGCCAUCGAGGCCAUGUGAGGAGGCACCAUCCACGAACCAGGAAGCAGCCAUUGCCAGACACCGAAUCUGCCAGCACUUUGGGCUCAGACCUCCAUGCUCCAGAACCGUGAAAAAUGACUGUCUCUUGUUUGGGUCACCUGGUCUGUUGUAGCAGCCUGGAUGUUUUUCACAUGCAGAGGCUCAAUAAAAGAGACCGUGCCUCUUCGAUUAUGGAAUAAUUCAUGGAGGAAUGGAGACUACAAAUGUCAUGAAUCUUUCAACUCUUACAUAAAAUUUGAAGUGAUGAUACAGUCAUUACCCUGAUUUGAUCAUUCUGCCAUAUAUACAUAUAUUAAAAGAUUACAUUUUACCUCCUAAGUAGACACAACUAUUAUUUAUCAAUUAAAAAACAUGGGGUGGUGGCUCAGAG